AUUGAACGCUGGCGGCAGGCCUAACACAUGCAAGUCGAGCGGAUGAAGGGAGCUUGCUCCUGGAUUCAGCGGCGGACGGGUGAGUAAUGCCUAGGAAUCUGCCUUGUAGUGGGGGAUAACGUCCGGAAACGGGCGCUAAUACCGCAUACGUCCUGAUGGAGAAAGUGGGGGAUCUUCGGACCUCACGCUAUCUGAUGAGCCUAGGUCGGAUUAGCUAGUUGGUGGGGUAAAGGCCUACCAAGGCGACGAUCCGUAACUGGUCUGAGAGGAUGAUCAGUCACACUGGAACUGAGACACGGUCCAGACUCCUACGGGAGGCAGCAGUGGGGAAUAUUGGACAAAGGGCGAAAGCCUGAUCCAGCCAUGCCGCGUGUGUGAAGAAGGUCUUCGGAUUGUAAAGCACUUUAAGUUGGGAGGAAGGGCAGUAAGUUAAUACCUUGCUGUUUUGACGGUACCAACAGAAUAAGCACCGGCUAACUUCGUG
RNAcentral lists this ribosomal RNA (484 nucleotides) under uncultured bacterium. RNAcentral describes it as "partial 16S ribosomal RNA". It matches the Rfam family "Bacterial small subunit ribosomal RNA", at positions 30 to 507 of the family's 1533-position model. The record is from RNAcentral.